Molecule: non-coding RNA, 20 nt
Filed under: Arabidopsis thaliana (thale cress)
Lineage: Eukaryota; Viridiplantae; Streptophyta; Magnoliopsida; Brassicales; Brassicaceae
Source: RNAcentral
AGGAGUACAAGGAAAAGGGU